RNAcentral lists this ribosomal RNA (368 nucleotides) under uncultured bacterium. RNAcentral's name for it is "bacterial SSU rRNA". It matches the Rfam family "Bacterial small subunit ribosomal RNA", at positions 434 to 793 of the family's 1533-position model. The record is from RNAcentral.
CAGUCGUGAGGAAGGUAGUGUAGUUAAUAGCUGCAUUAUUUGACGUUAGCGACAGAAGAAGCACCGGCUAACUCCGUGCCAGCAGCCGCGGUAAUACGGAGGGUGCGAGCGUUAAUCGGAAUUACUGGGCGUAAAGCGCAUGCAGGUGGUUUGUUAAGUCAGAUGUGAAAGACCCGGGGCGUCAACCUCGGAAUUGCAUUUGAAACUAGGCAGACUAGAGUACUGUAGAGGGGGGUAGGAAGUUUCAGGUGUAGCGGUGAAAUGCGUAGAGAUCUGAAGGAAUACCGGUGGCGAAGGCGGCCCCUGGACAGAUACUGACACUCAGAUGCGAAAGCGUGGGGAGCAAACAGGAUUAGAUACCCUGGUAG